RNAcentral lists this ribosomal RNA (253 nucleotides) under uncultured bacterium. Its description in RNAcentral is "partial 16S ribosomal RNA". It matches the Rfam family "Bacterial small subunit ribosomal RNA", at positions 524 to 776 of the family's 1533-position model. The record is from RNAcentral.
CACGUAGGGCGCAAGCGUUGUCCGGAAUUAUUGGGCGUAAAGAGCUCGUAGGCGGUCUGUUGCGUCCGCUGUGAAAACUCGGGGCUUAACCCCGAGCCUGCAGUGGAUACGGGCAGACUAGAGGUAGGUAGGGGAGAAUGGAAUUCCCGGUGUAGCGGUGAAAUGCGCAGAUAUCGGGAGGAACACCAGCGGCGAAGGCGGCACUCUGGGCUGGAACUGACGCUGAGGAGCGAAAGCGUGGGUAGCAAACAGG